CAGCAGCCGCGGUAAUACCGGCGGCCCGAGUGGCGGUCACUAUUAUUGGGCUUAAAGCGUCCGUAGCCGGGUUGGGAAGGCCUCCGGGAAAUCUGGCCGCUUAACGGGCAGAAUUCCGGGAGAUACUGCCAGCCUAGGGACCGGGAGAGGCCGAGGGGAUUCCCGGGGUAGGGGUGAAAUCCUAUAAUCCCGGGAGGACCACCUGUGGCGAAGGCGCUCGGCUGGAACGGGUCCGACGGUGAGGGACGAAGGCCAGGGGAGCAAACCGGAUUAGAUACCCGGGUAGUCCUGGCUGUAAACGAUGCGGACUUUGUGUCGGACAAGCUAUGAGCUUGUCCGGUGCCGGAGGGAAACCGUUAAGUCCGCCGCCUGGGGAGUACGGCCGCAAGGCUGAAACUUAAAGGAAUUGGCGGG
RNAcentral lists this ribosomal RNA (414 nucleotides) under uncultured microorganism. Its description in RNAcentral is "bacterial SSU rRNA". It matches the Rfam family "Archaeal small subunit ribosomal RNA", at positions 459 to 872 of the family's 1478-position model. The record is from RNAcentral.